This 493-nucleotide unclassified non-coding RNA is filed under the name Hevea brasiliensis (rubber tree). Lineage: Eukaryota; Viridiplantae; Streptophyta; Magnoliopsida; Malpighiales; Euphorbiaceae. The record is from RNAcentral.
AAAAUUAAUUUAAAGUUAAAUUUGUUCUGGUAAUGAUUGAGAAAAAUUUGAAACCCUUUGGUAGGCCAACCUGUCUAUUUCGCUACUUCUAUUAAAUUUGAAAUAAUGCUAUAUUUGAAUGGAGGAAUUUGACCUUAUGAAUUUAGAUUUGGGCUUGGGCAAUAUUAAUUGCUCUGUUAGUUGCUUUAAUAGUCAUUAAUUAUUUUAUUAGUUAUUUGCCUUUUAGAUGUUAAUAGUUAGUUGUUAGCCGUUAGAUAUUAGUUGUUAGUAGUUAAUUAUUUAUAAUAAUUGUUAGAUUAGCUGAUAAAUGUAAAAAUAAUAAAAGUAGUCAAAAUAGUAAACCCUACUAAGUUAUUACUAAAUAGGGCUUUUGACUAAAUAAAUGAAAAUAGAUUUGAAUUUGGUUAAAAUGUAUUAGGGACAAGUUUAAAAUCUAAAAAUUUAAAAUAACAAUUUUACUUUGUUAUUUUAAAUUUAUUCCACUGCAAUUUAA